Molecule: ribosomal RNA, 468 nt
Filed under: uncultured bacterium
Lineage: Bacteria
Description: partial 16S ribosomal RNA
Rfam family: Bacterial small subunit ribosomal RNA
Source: RNAcentral
GACGAACGCUGGCGGCGUGCUUAACACAUGCAAGUCGAACGGAAAGGCCCUGCUUUUGUGGGGUGCUCGAGUGGCGAACGGGUGAGUAACACGUGAGUAAACUGCCCUUGACUUUGGGAUAACUUCAGGAAACUGGGGCUAAUACCGGAUAGGAGCUCCUGCUGCAUGGUGGGGGUUGGAAAGUUUCGGCGGUUGGGGAUGGACUAGCGGCUUAUCAGCUUGUUGGUGGGGUAGUGGCUUACCAAGGCUUUGACGGGUAGCCGGCCUGAGAGGGUGACCGGCCACAUUGGGACUGAGAUACGGCCCAGACUCCUACGGGAGGCAGCAGUGGGGAAUAUUGCACAAUGGGCGGAAGCCUGAUGCAGCAACGCCGCGUGCGUGAUGACGGCCUUCGGGUUGUAAACCGCUUUCGCCUGUGACGAAGCGUGAGUGACGGUAAUGGGUAAAGAAGCACCGGCUAACUACGUG